GAUGAACGCUGGCGGCGUGCCUAAUACAUGCAAGUCGAGCGAACAGAUGAGGAGCUUGCUCCUCUGACGUUAGCGGCGGACGGGUGAGUAACACGUGGAUAACCUACCUAUAAGACUGGGAUAACUUCGGGAAACCGGAUCUAAUACCGGAUAAUAUAUUGAACCGCAUGGUUCAAUAGUGAAAGACGGUUUUGCUGUCACUUAUAGAUGGAUCCGCGCCGCAUUAGCUAGUUGGUAAGGUAACGGCUUACCAAGGCAACGAUGCGUAGCCGACCUGAGAGGGUGAUCGGCCACACUGGAACUGAGACACGGUCCAGACUCCUACGGGAGGCAGCAGUAGGGAAUCUUCCGCAAUGGGCGAAAGCCUGACGGAGCAACGCCGCGUGAGUGAUGAAGGUCUUCGGAUCGUAAAACUCUGUUAUUAGGGAAGAAAAAAUGUGUAAGUAACUAUGCACGUCUUGACGGUACCUAAUCAGAAAGCCACGGCUAACUUCGUG
This 497-nucleotide ribosomal RNA is filed under the name uncultured bacterium. Its description in RNAcentral is "partial 16S ribosomal RNA". It matches the Rfam family "Bacterial small subunit ribosomal RNA", at positions 28 to 507 of the family's 1533-position model. The record is from RNAcentral.